This 628-nucleotide long non-coding RNA is filed under the name Toxoplasma gondii VEG. The record is from RNAcentral. Lineage: Eukaryota; Apicomplexa; Conoidasida; Eucoccidiorida; Sarcocystidae.
GUAUGUUUAAAGGGAACAGGUAUCCCGUUUCUUUCAGUCGAAAAAGGCGUUUUCACAUCUGUGCAUUUGGAUCUCGAGCCCGAUAUGUGUAACGGUAGGCAGAUGGCUGAGUGAUCUGAAAAUCUACAAGACUCAACGCCUGGACACCUGCACCGAAGAAAGAUGUAUAUCUACAAAGAGAAGACGAAUCACGCAGGCACGCUGGAGACAUGUGUGUUCAAGUGUAUGUUUGUGAAUCGUUCGUAACGUGUACGUUCCCCUGUGACAAGACCUUCUACGUUCUACAUUUGUUUUUGGGAUCGAUACAGAGAUGUGCGUUGUCGUGCCUCCAUUUUCUCUCAGAGCGCCUGAAAAUAUGCGAGCGAAUUUCAGUGGAAGAAGCAGCUCGUCAUGGAAUGUGAAGAAACAUUUCUGUCCGAUCUGCUCGUGCUCUGCAGAGAAAUGCACGAUGGUCGAAUACUGGCUAAAAAUCGUUUUUGUGUGUGCUCUGGUGAGCUGUGAUUCGUCCUGUUUCCCAAAUGUUCCUGAACGGUGGGAGCCCCACCGUGCAUAACAAAAACUUGGGACCAUGCGACUUUCUCUGCGGUUUUGAACACACUCUCCCUCUCAAAAGGAGCGUCUUCAAAUC